Molecule: long non-coding RNA, 2835 nt
Organism: Gadus macrocephalus (Pacific cod)
Lineage: Eukaryota; Metazoa; Chordata; Actinopteri; Gadiformes; Gadidae
Exons: 2
Source: RefSeq, a predicted model, not a curated record
AGGGUUUUCUAAUGAGUCCGAUGAGUGUACUAACUCUCUCGGUGGCAAGCCAAUGACUCUGCCGACGCUAAAUGGCUUCUGCUGUCUCUCAGCCUUCCCCCCCUCCCGACUAUUUUUCUCACUCUCCUUUUUUCCUUUCCCUCUUUUUUUCCCCCUCCACUCUCCGUCUGCCUCUCCACCUCAUUCUCAAUCUCAAUCUGCCCUUGUGUCGCUCCAUUCCUCCGACCCCCCCCCCCCACUUCCAUUUAUCCUCUCUCUCUGUCGCUCUCUCCCCAUCAUUACCUUCAACACCAUCCAUCUCUCAUCCUCAAUGCUCUCUCUCUCUUAUUGCCUCUGUCCCUGGUCUCUCCCCCACCUACCCCAUAAUGCUUCUUUAUGUCUCUUCAAACUAUUUGUGCCUUUGACUUUCUUUCAUUCUCCCUCCUCCCCCUCCCCUCUCUGCAUUAUCUCAGCCCCGACAACCCUCUCUCCCCCCCCCUCCAUUAUGACUGUAUAUCGAUCUUAACAACAUCCCCCUGUUGCUCCUUCAAAACCUUCUCCUCACCUACACCUCCUGCCUUUGUGUAUCUUUUGGCCCUCUUUCAUAGCCUCCUGUUUGUUAUUUAAAACCUUUUUCUCAGACUCGUGUGCCUCUCUGCCUCCGACUCUACCCAGCUCUUUUAAUGUAUUGUCCACAUUCUUUAUCCCUCCUCAUAUCUCGAGUCUCUCUCAUCUUUCUUGCUCUCUCUCGCCACCCCUCCUCUCUCCCUCUCCCCUUCUCCGUCCCCCUCGUCUCUCAAUCUUGCUCUCUCCCCAUCCCUCCCUUUGCCUUCAUCUCUUUCUUCAUCUCCCUCAUCUCUCUCUCUCUUCCCAGCCCUCUUUAAUUCUCUCUCUCUCUCUCUCUCUCUCUCUCUCUCUCUCUCUCUCUCUCUCUCUCUCUCUCUCUCUCUCUCUCUCUCUCUCUCUCUCUCUCCAGUUACGACCGCAGCUGCUCCCAGCAUCCGCCCCCGCUCUCCCGCGCCGCGGCCCCUCCCCUCACCCUGGCGCUCCCUCGCUCCCUGGCUCCCGAGGACAGCCGGCAGACCCUCCACAGCCCCCCCUUCACCGACCGCGAGAGGAUCCCCGUCGUAAACCUCUGAGGUGACUGUUCUUCCCCCCCCCCCAUUUGAUAAACACUUCUGUGGGGCCUGCGGAGAGCCAUCAACAAGACCAGAGGUUGUGCCCGUGGCGCCAUUUUGUUCUUCCUUGAGACUGUGAAAUGAAAUCAGGGAUUCCAGGUACCCAAUUGUUGCGAAGCAUCCCGGCUUUUCCCUGAGGUGUUAAAGAAAAAAAAUAAAAGAGACAAGCUCAUCUUCCUGCUCCUCGCUUUCUUCCUUCCACUCCCCGGCUCGCCCUGGCUCUCCGGCGCUGGGUGUGAAUCUCUCUCGUCCCCCCCCUUGGUUUUAAUGCCUCUGUAGCAGGAUCACUGGCUCCUAGCCGCUACUGCCGCGAGCUGCACCUGACCAACCAACUGCUUCAAACCGCCGUGGCUAAUUCAAAAACAAGCCUGUCGUCUCCCACCCUCCAAGGCGACACCUUGCCCCAGCUUCCACGUUUGCGGGGGAUACAAUUGCACAUCUGUCGUCUCUGCCCGCAAAAACAAAAAUAAAGACGCUAGAGCCGUUGAAUCCAGCAAAUCCCAGCUUUCUUUUUGGAUGAAACCGCACAUUACAAACGCACAGUAGUGAUGGAUAUUGUCGGUUGGUAAACGGUUAAUGAAAGCCAUUCUCUGGCAUUCUCCUAAGACUGAAGAGGGAGGGGGAAUGGUUUAUCACAAAGCUGUAGCCGGCAGGCAACGUGUUUACCAUGUCACGCUCCAGAAACCGCUGUUCAUUCCUGCUUUGGGCGCUACGAAAAAAAUUCAAAUACCACGGCUUUUCCCCCCCCUCCACAACCACGUUGGCAAAGAGAAGGCCGUUUUGUCUCGCGGGUUAUUUUUUUCCCCUUCAUGAUUUGUUCUCUUAAUUAUCUGGAUGAUGUAGUGUCAUGUUUUUGUUGGGCCUUCGCGGGCAUCCUGGUCUCUGCUGGACCCACGAGGACGGGUUCUUCAACACAGUAUUUCUUCCAGAGGUGGUGGGGUUAUCAGACGACACACACACACACACAUACACACAUACACACACACAGAAAGGGCAUUGCUGUUACAAUCAAUAUUUUAAAGCUGGUUCAAGUCUGGUUUAUAUGGUGUUGCCGUGAAAAGUAUAUAAAUGUCAUUACGUAGAGAAUCGAACUAUAAAUAAAGAUGAGUCAAACGUGCCGAGUAUUGCAAACUGAUGUUAAACAUUUUAGCUAUCUCAGUUCACUGAACUGUUCAAAUAAUGACAUCAUGGUGAUUGCCAUCAUCAUCAGUACCAAUCAUCCAAUGGCUGCCGAUCUGGGUGAGAUGAUCGAUGACAGAUUGAUGACAGAUUUGCAGUGCACAUGAAGGAACGCCACUUCCAGCCCUGUAGGCCUACAAGGGUUUUGCAUGUGUACGGUAAAACAACAACUAUAUAUCAACAUUGCAUUUGCAUAGAGUAAACGUAUUAAUACAUGUAUGUUUUUAUAUAUCAGUGAGUACUAUCUUCCGGAAUACUUCAACAACCAAAUUAGGUUGGUUCUUAUUUUUUUCGAAGCAGCUCUGAGGAAAUACCUCCCACUCCACCUCUCUCGACAAUUUUUUAACAAAACCUCAAACACAAACACAUAGUGCUGGUGAUCACGUUGCGAGUCUUGCAGUAAACCAGUGUCUUGUGGUUUUUAGUAGCAUUCCUGUAGGCAUCCAGCCUGUCUGUACUGUUAAAAAUCAACAAUAAAAAGGCAUAACUCUUGUGUUCA